Molecule: ribosomal RNA, 253 nt
Filed under: uncultured bacterium
Lineage: Bacteria
Description: partial 16S ribosomal RNA
Rfam family: Bacterial small subunit ribosomal RNA
Source: RNAcentral
GACGGAGGGUGCAAGCGUUGUUCGGAAUUACUGGGCGUAAAGGGCGCGUAGGCGGUCUGUUAAGUUCGGUGUGAAAGCCCCCGGCUCACCUGGGGAACUGCGCCGGAAACCGACAGACUCGAGUACCGGAGAGGAGGGUGGAAUUCCUGGUGUAGCGGUGAAAUGCGUAGAUAUCGGGAGGAACACCAGUGGCGAAGGCGACUACCUGGCCUGUUCUUGACGCUGAGGCGCGAAAGCUAGGGGAGCAAACGGG